AUUGAACGCUGGCGGCAUGCUUUACACAUGCAAGUCGAACGGUAACAGGGAGCUUGCUCCGCUGACGAGUGGCGAACGGGUGAGUAAUGUAUCGGAACGUACCCAAGAGUGGGGGAUAACGUAGCGAAAGUUACGCUAAUACCGCAUACGAUCUAUGGAUGAAAGUGGGGGACCUUCGGGCCUCAUGCUCCUGGAGCGGCCGAUAUCUGAUUAGCUAGUUGGUGAGGUAAAGGCUCACCAAGGCGACGAUCAGUAGCUGGUCUGAGAGGACGACCAGCCACACUGGGACUGAGACACGGCCCAGACUCCUACGGGAGGCAGCAGUGGGGAAUUUUGGACAAUGGGGGCAACCCUGAUUCAGCAAUGCCGCGUGAGUGAAGAAGGCCUUCGGGUUGUAAAGCUCUUUUGUCAGGGAAGAAACGGUGCGGGCUAAUAUCCCGUGCUAAUGACGGUACCUGAAGAAUAAGCACCGGCUAACUACGUGCCAGCAGCCGCGGUAA
Molecule: ribosomal RNA, 500 nt
Filed under: uncultured bacterium
Lineage: Bacteria
Description: partial 16S ribosomal RNA
Rfam family: Bacterial small subunit ribosomal RNA
Source: RNAcentral